GUGAAGGGGGACCAGUCCUGGUGACGACAUUUACUGUCUGAGCUGGGGUUGGUCGCAGAGACCAGAGAGAAGCGACUGUUUACUAAAAACACAGGUCCGUGCGAAGUCGUAAGACGAUGUAUACGGACUGACGCCUGCCCGGUGCUGGAAGGUUAAGAGGACCGGUCAGCCACUUCGGUGGCGAAGCUGAGAAUUUAAGCCCCAGUAAACGGCGGUGGUAACUAUAACCAUCCUAAGGUAGCGAAAUUCCUUGUCGGGUAAGUUCCGACCUGCACGAAUGGCGUAACGACUUCUCUGCUGUCUCAACCACAGACUCGGCGAAAUUGCAGUACGAGUAAAGAUGCUCGUUACGCGCGGCAGGACGAAAAGACCCCGGGACCUUCACUAUAGCUUGGUAUUGGUGUUCGGUUCGGUUUGUGUAGGAUAGGUGGGAGACUGUGAAACUCGCACGCCAGUGUGGGUGGAGUCAUUGUUGAAAUACCACUCUGACCGUAUUGGACAUCUAACCUCGGACCAUGAUCUGGUUCAGGGACAGUGCCUGGUGGGUAGUUUAACUGGGGCGGUUGCCUCCUAAAAAGUAACGGAGGCGCCCAAAGGUUCCCUCAGCCUGGUUGGCAAUCAGGUGUUGAGUGUAAGUGCACAAGGGAGCUUGACUGUGAGACGUACAUGUCGAGCAGGGACGAAAGUCGGGACUAGUGAUCCGGCACCGGCAAGUGGAAGCGGUGUCGCUCAACGGAUAAAAGGUACCCCGGGGAUAACAGGCUGAUCUUCCCCAAGAGUCCAUAUCGACGGGAUGGUUUGGCACCUCGAUGUCGGCUCGUCGCAUCCUGGGGCUGGAGUAGGUCCCAAGGGUUGGGCUGUUCGCCCAUUAAAGCGGCACGCGAGCUGGGUUUAGAACGUCGUGAGACAGUUCGGUCUCUAUCCGCCGCGCGCGUAAGAAACUUGAGGAAACCUGUCCCUAGUACGAGAGGACCGGGACGGACGAACCUCUGGUGUGCCAGUUGUUCCACCAGGAGCACCGCUGGUUAGCUACGUUCGGAAGGGAUAACCGCUAAAAGCAUCUAAGCGGGAAGCCUGUUCCAAGAUGAGGUUUCUCACCACCUAGCGUGGUUAAGGCCCCCCACAGACCAUGGGGUUGAUAGGCCAGAACUGUAAGCACAGCAAUGUGUUCAGGUGACUGGUACUAAUCGGCCGAGGACUUC
Molecule: ribosomal RNA, 1202 nt
Filed under: metagenome
Description: bacterial LSU rRNA
Rfam family: Bacterial large subunit ribosomal RNA
Source: RNAcentral